Molecule: ribosomal RNA, 421 nt
Filed under: uncultured bacterium
Lineage: Bacteria
Description: bacterial SSU rRNA
Rfam family: Bacterial small subunit ribosomal RNA
Source: RNAcentral
UAAGGAAUAUUGGUCAAUGGACGCAAGUCCGAACCAGCCAUGCCGCGUGAAGGAUGAAGGUCCUCUGGAUUGUAAACUUCUUUUAUCUGGGACGAAAACGGGAUUUUUAUCUCAAUUGACGGUACCAGAGGAAUAAGCACCGGCUAACUCCGUGCCAGCAGCCGCGGUAAUACGGAGGGUGCGAGCGUUAUCCGGAUUUACUGGGUUUAAAGGGUGCGUAGGUGGGCUUAUAAGUCAGUGGUGAAAUCUCCGAGCUUAACUUGGAAACUGCCGUUGAUACUAUAGGUCUUGAAUUAUCUGGAGGUAAGCGGAAUAUGUCAUGUAGCGGUGAAAUGCUUAGAUAUGACAUAGAACACCAAUUGCGAAGGCAGCUUACUAUAUAUAAAUUGACGCUGAGGCACGAAAGCGUGGGGAUCAAACA